AUGUGAUCGUCUCUCGCAUAUCAAUAAGCGGAGGAAAAGAAACUAACAAGGAUUCCCCUAGUAACGGCGAGUGAAGCGGGAAGAGCUCAAAUUUGAAAUCCUUAAAGGGUUUCCCUUUACGAAUUGUAGUUUAAAGAAGUGUUUUCUGUUGAGGUUUUGGUAAAAGUUCUUUGGAAUAGGACAUCAUAGAGGGUGAGAAUCCCGUAUUUGACCUUUACUUUCAACUUUGUGAUACACUUUCAAAGAGUCGGAUUGUUUGGGAAUGCAGUCCAAAAUGGGUGGUAAAUUUCAUCUAAAGCUAAAUAUUGGCGAGAGACCGAUAGCGAACAAGUACCGUGAGGGAAAGAUGAAAAGAACUUUGAAAAGAGAGUUAAACAGUACGUGAAAUUGUCAAAAGGGAAGCGUUUGACACCAGUGUUGUUUUUCUGAAAAUCAAUUAAAGAACUGUUUAUGCUAAGCUGUUUAGACUUUAUCAGCUAAUCUGUUUAGUUUUGAGCUUUUCUUUAAUGCACUUUUCAGUUAACAAGUCAACAUCAAUUUCUUUUGCUGUAAAAAAGCUUGAGGAAGGUGGCUUGAGAUUCGUCUUAAGUGUUUAUAGCCUCUUGCCUAUGCAGUCGGAGAGAUUGAGGUCUGCAGCGUAGAUCCUUCGGGGCUAAAUGCAUUUGUGCUAAGUUAUAGCAUUUUAUAGACAACUUGUUGACUAUGAUUUGUCUUGUAGCUUACUCGCUUAUGUUAUUUUACCUACGCUUAGGAUGUUGAACGCGCACAGAGUCUC
Molecule: ribosomal RNA, 775 nt
Filed under: uncultured Neocallimastigales
Lineage: Eukaryota; Fungi; Neocallimastigomycota; Neocallimastigomycetes; Neocallimastigales
Description: partial large subunit ribosomal RNA
Rfam family: Eukaryotic large subunit ribosomal RNA
Source: RNAcentral